GCCUCCGUAGCUCAGUGGAUAGAGCAACCGCCUUCUAAGCGGUUGGCCGUGGGUUCGAGUCCCGCCGGGGGCGCCA
Molecule: transfer RNA, 76 nt
Filed under: bacterium
Lineage: Bacteria
Description: tRNA-Arg
Rfam family: tRNA
About the family: Transfer RNA (tRNA) molecules are approximately 80 nucleotides in length. Their secondary structure includes four short double-helical elements and three loops (D, anti-codon, and T loops). Further hydrogen bonds mediate the characteristic L-shaped molecular structure. tRNAs have two regions of fundamental functional importance: the anti-codon, which is responsible for specific mRNA codon recognition, and the 3' end, to which the tRNAs corresponding amino acid is attached (by aminoacyl-tRNA synthetases). tRNAs cope with the degeneracy of the genetic code in two manners: having more than one tRNA (with a specific anti-codon) for a particular amino acid; and 'wobble' base-pairing, i.e. permitting non-standard base-pairing at the 3rd anti-codon position.
Source: RNAcentral